AGUGAACGCUGGCGGCAGGCCUAAUACAUGCAAGUCGAACGGCAGCACAGCAGAGCUUGCUCUGUGGGUGGCGAGUGGCGGACGGGUGAGGAAUACAUGGGAAUCUGCCCAGUCGUGGGGGAUAACGUAUGGAAACGUACGCUAAUACCGCAUGCGCCCUUCGGGGGAAAGCCGGGGAUCUUCGGACCUGGCGCGAUUGGAUGAGCCCAUGUCGGAUUAGCUAGUUGGGGGGGUAAAGGCCCACCAAGGCUACGAUCCGUAGCUGGUCUGAGAGGAUGAUCAGCCACACUGGAACUGAGACACGGUCCAGACUCCUACGGGAGGCAGCAGUAGGGAAUAUUGGACAAUGGGCGCAAGCCUGAUCCAGCCAUGCCGCGUGUGUGAAGAAGGCCUUCGGGUUGUAAAGCACUUUUAUCCGGAAAGAAAAGCGCUGGGUUAAUACCCUGGUGUUCUGACGGUAC
Molecule: ribosomal RNA, 461 nt
Filed under: uncultured bacterium
Lineage: Bacteria
Description: bacterial SSU rRNA
Rfam family: Bacterial small subunit ribosomal RNA
Source: RNAcentral